UUUAAAUAAUUUAAUAUAAAAUAUUGAUUUGUGGAGUCAAAAAUAUGAGAAUAUCAUUUUAA
Molecule: transfer RNA, 62 nt
Filed under: Parnassius andreji
Lineage: Eukaryota; Metazoa; Arthropoda; Insecta; Lepidoptera; Papilionidae
Description: tRNA-His
Source: RNAcentral